Molecule: long non-coding RNA, 1231 nt
Filed under: Heterocephalus glaber (naked mole-rat)
Lineage: Eukaryota; Metazoa; Chordata; Mammalia; Rodentia; Bathyergidae
Description: lncRNA (ENSHGLG00100043853.1)
Source: RNAcentral
AGAGGAGCCUGCAAAGCCAAGACCCCACACUGCAAUGGACCGAAGUCCUGGCACCAUGGGUCGGUUACCAGGGACUCAAGCCCUCUCCAGUCACCUCCUGCCACCCUAGCAGCUCUGUCAACGGCCGGACAGCAGGAGGCUGAUGGGGCACUGAGGAUCGCAUGGUGUUGCCCAGGUUGAAUUUGCAAUCCUCCUGCGUCAGCCUCCCAAGAAACUGGAGUAACAGGUGUAUGCCACCAGGUCCAGCUUGCCUUAACCGUUCCUGAGUGCACCAUUCAGGGCACAAAGCACCGUCUGUCCGAAGAACUUCACCUUGUCCAGCUGCACCUGCGGGUCCAGCUCCAGGCAGCCUGUCUGCUCUGUCCACCUGCCCGGUACCUACUCCACACCUUCUGGACCCGUGUACCUCACAAGAAGUCUUCAAGUCAGGUGCUGUUGGCCCUCCAACUCUGUUCUGUUCCUCUUUCUUUCUUUCUUUCUUUCUUUGUAAGUUGAUUUGGUUAUUUAAACCCUUUGCAUUUGGGGUUGAAUAUUCAAAUCAGGUUUUUAAUUUCUACCUCAAAUACAAAUCCUCUGUGAUUUGUAUUGGUAUUGCAUUAAAAUUAAAGAUGACUUUGGGGAGAAUUUAGUGUUCUGACCCAUGAAUGGGGCUCUCUCUCCACUUAUUGAGGUCUUUGAUUACCCUCAGAAAUUUUUAAUAAGGCCUCUACAUAUUUUGUCAAGUUUAUCUCUAAGUAUAUCUGAUGUUGGAAGUGAUGUUCUUAGAUUUCAAUUUCCAGUCAUUUGUUGCUAGUGUAUAGAAACGCAAUUGGUUUUUAUGUGUCAACCCUUGUAUUUUGUAGUUUUUGUAGGUAUUUUGAAUAUGCCAUAGGAUUUUCAGCGAGGAUAAUUAUGUCACCUACAAAUUAGGAGUUUUAUUUCGUCAGAUCAUUUGUUACCAAGUGGAAGGGAAGUGGGCAGAGUGGACAUCGCUGUCUUGUCCCAGUAUCAGGACCACGCUUCAGCCUUUCAUUGUUGAGUGCUGUGUUACCUGAAGCCUGGGCAUGUGCCCUUCAGCAAAUUACAGAAGUUCCCUUCUUGGACAGUUCAUUGAAAAUUUUGAUCAGGAAAGAAUGUUAAAUUUUGUAAAUGCUUUUUCUGGAGCUAUUAAGAUCUUGUGGGUUGUCCAUUUUGGACUAUUAGUGGUGAACUGUACUACCUAACAUUUCUAUUUUUUUUUUUUUGGUACCAG